GAAGUACUCCCUCCAUCUUGAAUUACUUGUCGUAGAAACGGAUAAAAAUGAAUGUAUCUAGAACUAAAAUACGUCUAGAUACACCCAUUCCCGUGACAAGUAAUUCUUGAUGGAGGGAGUAUAUG
This is a non-coding RNA of Hordeum vulgare subsp. vulgare (domesticated barley), 125 nucleotides long. The record is from Rfam. Lineage: Eukaryota; Viridiplantae; Streptophyta; Magnoliopsida; Poales; Poaceae.